This 249-nucleotide unclassified non-coding RNA is filed under the name Basidiomycota sp. Its description in RNAcentral is "partial contains small subunit ribosomal RNA, internal transcribed spacer 1, and 5.8S ribosomal RNA". The stretch from base 1 to 47 matches the Rfam family "Eukaryotic small subunit ribosomal RNA", at positions 1785 to 1831 of the family's 1831-position model. The record is from RNAcentral. Lineage: Eukaryota; Fungi; Basidiomycota.
AAAGUCGUAACAAGGUUUCCGUAGGUGAACCUGCGGAAGGAUCAUUAACAAACGAACACGACCGACCCUGUUGAAAUGGACUGUUGGGGGGACAAUCAGUGGGCGAGGAGUGUGAUCAAGCGCCAUUGUGCACUUUUCUGCUCCUCGCUCACUGACCCCCCUCGCAGCUUAGCAAACACCCUUUAUUGAUAGACCACUAGCAAAGAACCGAAUUAAAAACAACUUUUAACAAUGGAUCUCUUGGCUCUU